RNAcentral lists this ribosomal RNA (229 nucleotides) under uncultured Alicycliphilus sp. RNAcentral describes it as "partial 16S ribosomal RNA". It matches the Rfam family "Bacterial small subunit ribosomal RNA", at positions 548 to 774 of the family's 1533-position model. The record is from RNAcentral. Lineage: Bacteria; Pseudomonadati; Pseudomonadota; Betaproteobacteria; Burkholderiales; Comamonadaceae.
AGAGAUGCACUGGGUUUAAAGCGUGCGCAGGCGGUUUUGUAAGACAGAGGUGAAAUCCCGGGCUCAACCUGGGAACUGCCUUUGUGACUGCAAGGCUGGAGUGCGGCAGAGGGGGAUGGAAUUCCGCGUGUAGCAGUGAAAUGCGUAGAUAUGCGGAGGAACACCGAUGGCGAAGGCAAUCCCCUGGGCCUGCACUGACGCUCAUGCACGAAAGCGUGGGGAGUAAACA